Molecule: ribosomal RNA, 684 nt
Filed under: uncultured Bacilli bacterium
Lineage: Bacteria; Bacillati; Bacillota; Bacilli
Description: bacterial SSU rRNA
Rfam family: Bacterial small subunit ribosomal RNA
Source: RNAcentral
GAGCUUGCUCUUCUGGAUGAGUUGCGAACGGGUGAGUAACGCGUAGGUAACCUGCCUGGUAGCGGGGGAUAACUAUUGGAAACGAUAGCUAAUACCGCAUAAGAGUAGAUGUUGCAUGACAUUUGCUUAAAAGGUGCAAUUGCACCACUACCAGAUGGACCUGCGUUGUAUUAGCUAGUUGGUGGGGUAACGGCUCACCAAGGCGACGAUACAUAGCCGACCUGAGAGGGUGAUCGGCCACACUGGGACUGAGACACGGCCCAGACUCCUACGGGAGGCAGCAGUAGGGAAUCUUCGGCAAUGGACGGAAGUCUGACCGAGCAACGCCGCGUGAGUGAAGAAGGUUUUCGGAUCGUAAAGCUCUGUUGUAAGAGAAGAACGAGUGUGAGAGUGGAAAGUUCACACUGUGACGGUAUCUUACCAGAAAGGGACGGCUAACUACGUGCCAGCAGCCGCGGUAAUACGUAGGUCCCGAGCGUUGUCCGGAUUUAUUGGGCGUAAAGCGAGCGCAGGCGGUUAGAUAAGUCUGAAGUUAAAGGCUGUGGCUUAACCAUAGUACGCUUUGGAAACUGUUUAACUUGAGUGCAAGAGGGGAGAGUGGAAUUCCAUGUGUAGCGGUGAAAUGCGUAGAUAUAUGGAGGAACACCGGUGGCGAAAGCGGCUCUCUGGCUUGUAACUGACGCU